Ahaetulla prasina is the source of this 1884-nucleotide long non-coding RNA. RefSeq lists it as uncharacterized. The transcript has 3 exons. The record is from RefSeq and is a predicted model, not a curated record. NCBI's taxonomy places the organism in Eukaryota, Metazoa, Chordata, Lepidosauria, Squamata, Colubridae.
CCGGCCCAGGUGGAGCGGCGUCGAGCUUCCCCCUUGGUUUGCAUUUCGCUGGAUGAAAAAUGGGGCAGAAUACAGGAUAAGCGGCCUGACAGAAAAGCAAGGCCGGUGUGUGUCCGACUGCCCUCCGGAAGUCUUGCUUCAUGAAUGUUCAUUGUGAGUGCUGGUACUGAUAUAGGAUCUGAGAUCUGCCAAAUUUCCAUUGGCUACUUUUGGCUGGUCUGGAUUGGACACUGGAAAAAAGGACAAGCAAACAGGAAGUUAUCACAGAAAGAAAUAGAUGCAUAUCCCAUGAAUACGUUUUAGACUGAAACUUUCCAGAGCCUAAAAUCAGCAUUGGAAAAGGAAACAGGAGUGAAAUAACUAAAUGAAGUGUGCAGAUAAGGUGGAAAAACAAGAGAAAUAGGUAGAUGUGCACAAAAUGUGAUCUGUUGAUAUGUGCAGAGAAAUGUAAAUUGCAACAUUACUAUACUUUAAAUAGACUAUAAUUCAUCUUAUUAUACUAAAGAAAAAUGUAACAAGUCCUUACUGUUAAAGGGAUUUCAAGUCUCCUGUUCAUCUUUCUUAUAAUUCAUUGUUAAGAGAAUAACUCUCUUAAAGAUGCCUUCAAAUAAAAGAUUUAGCUUAUAGAAGGAUGCAGCUUAAAAUCAGCUUAUCUUUGUAUAAAUUGGACUUGGCCAUCUUUGGUGAGAUUUCCCCAAACUGUUUAAGUUUGAUGGAAGACCCGAGCUCGGGGUAGAAAAAAACCUUAUAGAUGUUCUAGGCUGAAGCUUCAAACUAUUAAAUAUAGCAGCCUUAUCUUGAUGCAUGGCACUGAAAAGAUAUAAAUACUAAAUAACAUGUUUCUCUUGUGAAUUCCGGUUUACUGGUAUCCCCCUCUUUUUUUCUACAUAGCUAAUGGUAUAUAAGAUCUCAUUGAACUUGUAAUGAGAUAUGAUAGUCCUGGUCAUAGUAUCUUAUACUUGUUUUAGUUGAGUUAAAAAUUCUAUUACUGAAUAUAAUAGCAUGCUCCUUACUAAAGAUUCAAUUGGCAGAUAACUAACCAAGUAUGGAAUGAUGGAGGGAUGAAACAACAACAAAUGGUCUGUCUUACACAUUGGAAAAAAGAAUCUGAACACUAAUACAAGCUUGAUGGACACUACCUUAUAGAUGACCCUCACCCCGUUAAAGACCUUGGAGUUUUCAUAUCAAAUGAUCUAAGUGCCAAAGCCCACUGCAACUACAUCGCAAAAAAGGCUUUAAGAGUUGUAAACUUAAUCUUGCGUAGCUUCUUCUCCAGAAACACUACACUACUAACCAGAGCAUAUAAAACAUUUGCUAGACCAAUUCUUGAAUACAGCUCGCCUGUCUGGAACCCAUACCUCAUUUCAGACAUUAAUACAAUUGAGCGUGUCCAGAAAUAUUUUACAAGAAGAGUUCUCCACUCCUCUGUUUACAACAAAAUACCUUACGCCAUCAGACUUAAAAUCCUGGGUUUAGAAAAUUUGGAACUCUGCCACCUUCGACAGGAGGAUGAUUCAUAGAAUCAUCUGUUAAAACGUCCUUCCUGUUGAAGACUACUUCAGCUUCAAUCACAACAAUACAUGAUCACACAAUAGAUUUAAGCUUAAUGUGAACCGCUCCAAUCUUGAUUGCAGAAAAUAUGACUUCAGAAACAGAGUUGUUAAUGCCUGGAAUGCACUUCCAGAUUCUGUGGUCUCUUCCCCAAAUCCCCAAAGCUUUAACCAAAAACUGUCUACUAUUGACCUUUAUCCCCAUUCUUAAGAGGUCUGUAAGGGGCGUGCAUAAGAGCACCAGCGUGCCUACUGUUCCUGUCCUAAUGUUCCCUUUGAUUGUAUACAAUUUCAUAUAAUUAUUACAUACGAUGGUUAUAUAUAUAUACUUAUA